CGGCGGACGGGUGAGUAAUGCCUAGGAAUCUGCCUGGUAGUGGGGGACAACGUUUCGAAAGGAACGCUAAUACCGCAUACGUCCUACGGGAGAAAGCAGGGGACCUUCGGGCCUUGCGCUAUCAGAUGAGCCUAGGUCGGAUUAGCUAGUUGGUGAGGUAAUGGCUCACCAAGGCGACGAUCCGUAACUGGUCUGAGAGGAUGAUCAGUCACACUGUAACUGAGACACGGUCCAGACUCCUACGGGAGGCAGCAGCC
Molecule: ribosomal RNA, 257 nt
Filed under: uncultured Pseudomonas sp.
Lineage: Bacteria; Pseudomonadati; Pseudomonadota; Gammaproteobacteria; Pseudomonadales; Pseudomonadaceae
Description: partial 16S ribosomal RNA
Rfam family: Bacterial small subunit ribosomal RNA
Source: RNAcentral